AUGGUGCAGACAGGGAGGCACAUUGUGUAUCCUUUGUUUUAUCGGUUGUUGAAACUAGUAAUUGUCUUGCCUAUUGCCACUGCUACAGUUGAGAGAUGCUUUUCAGCUAUGAAACUGGUCAAAACCUUCUUGCGCAGUCGCCUCAAUGAUGAUAGUUUGAGUGAUGAUCUUAUUUGUUAUGUGGCGAAAGAAGAAAUGAAAAAGGUCACCAAUGCUCAAGUGGUUGAGUAUUUCAUGGCUCGGAGGAACAUACCGUACAAAAGGUAA
RNAcentral lists this ribosomal RNA (267 nucleotides) under Triticum aestivum (bread wheat). RNAcentral describes it as "partial small subunit ribosomal RNA". The record is from RNAcentral. Lineage: Eukaryota; Viridiplantae; Streptophyta; Magnoliopsida; Poales; Poaceae.